This 497-nucleotide ribosomal RNA is filed under the name uncultured bacterium. RNAcentral's name for it is "partial 16S ribosomal RNA". It matches the Rfam family "Bacterial small subunit ribosomal RNA", at positions 28 to 507 of the family's 1533-position model. The record is from RNAcentral.
GAUGAACGCUGGCGGCGUGCCUAAUACAUGCAAGUCGAGCGAACAGACGAGGAGCUUGCUCCUCUGACGUUAGCGGCGGACGGGUGAGUAACACGUGGAUAACCUACCUAUAAGACUGGGAUAACUUCGGGAAACCGGAGCUAAUACCGGAUAAUAUAUUGAACCGCAUGGUUCAAUAGUGAAAGACGGUUUUGCUGUCACUUAUAGAUGGAUCCGCGCCGCAUUAGCUAGUUGGUAAGGUAACGGCUUACCAAGGCAACGAUGCGUAGCCGACCUGAGAGGGUGAUCGGCCACCCUGGAACUGAGACACGGUCCAGACUCCUACGGGAGGCAGCAGUAGGGAAUCUUCCGCAAUGGGCGAAAGCCUGACGGAGCAACGCCGCGUGAGUGAUGAAGGUGUUCGGAUCGUAAAACUCUGUUAUUAGGGAAGAACAAAUGUGUAAGUAACUAUGCACGUCUUGACGGUACCUAAUCAGAAAGCCACGGCUAACUACGUG